RNAcentral lists this ribosomal RNA (253 nucleotides) under uncultured bacterium. RNAcentral's name for it is "partial 16S ribosomal RNA". It matches the Rfam family "Bacterial small subunit ribosomal RNA", at positions 524 to 776 of the family's 1533-position model. The record is from RNAcentral.
UACGUAGGGUGCAAGCGUUAAUCGGAAUUACUGGGCGUAAAGCGUGCGCAGGCGGCUUUGCAAGACAGAUGUGAAAUCCCCGGGCUUAACCUGGGAACUGCGUCUGAUACUGGAUGGCUUGAGUUUGGGAGAGGGAUGCGGAAUUCCAGGUGUAGCGGUGAAAUGCGUAGAUAUCUGGAGGAACACCGGUGGCGAAGGCGGCAUCCUGGACCAACACUGACACUGAGGAGCGAAAGCCAGGGGAGCAAACGGG